This 196-nucleotide ribosomal RNA is filed under the name uncultured bacterium. Its description in RNAcentral is "partial 16S ribosomal RNA". It matches the Rfam family "Bacterial small subunit ribosomal RNA", at positions 337 to 525 of the family's 1533-position model. The record is from RNAcentral.
UCCUACGGGAGGCAGCAGUCGGGAAUAUUGGACAAUGGGCGGAAGCCUGAUCCAGCAAUGCCGCGUGUGUGAAGAAGGCCUGAGGGUUGUAAAGCACUUUCAGUGGGGAGAAAGAGGCCGUUGUUAAUAGCAACGGCGGAUGAUGUUACCCAAAGAAGAAGCACCGGCUAACCCUGUGCCAGCACCCGCGGUAAUA